UCCUCCUCAAAAACGUCGAACCCUAACUCCUUUCCCCGAUCUCCCCUCUGUUCGAACCCGAUCUCCUUCUUCCCCUCUUCUUCUCCCUGCCUCUCUCGCGGACAACUCGACGCCGACGCCACCAAGGGAGCUAAUUGUCGGCGGGCACCUCAUCUUCCCUGAUCAGUCGAGCGGGCCAGGCGAUCACAUUUCCUCUUGAGCUGUCACCUCUUUUCGGGUAGUCUCUCGGAGGAGGGAGGGGAGAGUUCGAACCCUAGAUCGCCGGGAGUCGGGAGGUUGCGUUGACGACAGAGGUAGGUUUCUUGAGCCUUUCUUCUCUCUUGAUUUCAUCGUCAAUCCAGCUCACCUUCUUCUCGAUCCCGUGGAUGUCGAGUUGUCCUCGAUUGUCGCCAUCUAGGGCCGAAGAUACCGGCUGUGCCCUAGCUACGAUCCUGGAGGCAAGGAUCAAUUCCUUGAUGUUAGUUCUUGAUCGUCUUCCUUGCUGUUAACUAAGGUCCCUGUUGAGGAAUUCCGGCUUGAUUCAUUUCUGGUUCCGAUUGAUUGCACUGAGGAUCUGCUUUGUGGAGUUGAUCUUGGUUUCGGCAACUCUCCAACGACAACUACCUUGUCUGGCAGCAACAUUUCUUGGUGCUGUGGAUCAUCAAUCACGGCAGGACUCUGAUUCGAGACAGGCAUCUCGACGUUGGAUCGGGCUUGAUAGUACCUUCUAGUUGAGGCGGGU
Long non-coding RNA from Zingiber officinale, 721 nucleotides. RefSeq lists it as uncharacterized. The transcript has 3 exons. The record is from RefSeq and is a predicted model, not a curated record. Lineage: Eukaryota; Viridiplantae; Streptophyta; Magnoliopsida; Zingiberales; Zingiberaceae.